RNAcentral lists this ribosomal RNA (2144 nucleotides) under human oral metagenome. RNAcentral describes it as "bacterial LSU rRNA". It matches the Rfam family "Bacterial large subunit ribosomal RNA", at positions 503 to 2498 of the family's 2925-position model. The record is from RNAcentral.
GUGAGGGAAUGGUGAAAAGUACCCCGGGAGGGGAGUGAAAUAGUACCUGAAACCGGGCGCUUACAAGCCGUCAAAGCCCUGUGGGGUGAUGGCGUGCCUAUUGAAGAAUGAGCCUGCGAGUUAGUGGCGUGUCGCGAGGUUAACCCGUGUGGGGGAUCCGUAGCGAAAGCGAGUCUGAAAGGGCGUUUAGUGGCACGUUCUAGACCCGAAGCGGGGUGAUCUACCCAUGGCCAGGUUGAAGCACGUGUAAGAGCGUGUGGAGGACCGAACCCACUUCAGUUGAAAAUGGAGGGGAUGAGCUGUGGGUAGGGGUGAAAGGCCAAUCAAACUCCGUGAUAGCUGGUUCUCCCCGAAAUGCAUUUAGGUGCAGCGUUGCGUGGUUCCGGGCGGGGGUAGAGCUACUGGAUGGCUGAUGGGCCUUACAGGGUUACUGACGUCAACCAAACUCCGAAUACCGUCCGGGUAUAGCGUGGCAGUGAGACAGCGGGGGAUAAGCUCCGUUGUCGAGAGGGAAACAGCCCAGAUCGCCGGCUAAGGCCCCUAAGCGUGUGCUAAGUGGGAAAGGAUGUGCGGUCGCGUUGACAACCAGGAGGUUGGCUUAGAAGCAGCCAUCCUUGAAAGAGUGCGUAAUAGCUCACUGGUCAAGUGAUCGUGCGCCGACAAUGUAGCGGGGCUCAAGCACACCGCCGAAGCCGCGGAUCCUCAACAAGCACCCUGUCGCUAUGCGGCCAGGGGUUGGGGGUGGUAGGGGAGCGUUGUGUACUGGGUGAAGCGGCCGAGUGAUUGUGUCGUGGACGGUACGCAAGUGAGAAUGCAGGCAUGAGUAGCGAUACUAGGGUGAGAAACCCUAGCGCCGAAUGACCAAGGGUUCCAGGGCUAGGCUAGUCCGCCCUGGGUGAGUCGGGUCCUAAGGCGAGGCCGACAGGCGUAGUCGAUGGAUAACCGGUUGAUAUUCCGGUACCGGCUGGUGACCGUCAAGUGUUGACUGAAAGGUACUAACCCACGCUAAAAACAUGGUCGGGUUUCUUCGGAAAUCUGGUUGUGGUUUUGGUUUGGGGACAGGCUUUCUUGGUAGGCAAGCGUGUGGAGUGACGCACAGUGGAAGCCUUCGCGAGGUGAUGGUAUACCUCGUUUAACCGUGUAGCUUACUGCUUAGGUAAAUCCGGGUGGUUUUAUGUGAGGCGGGAUGAUGACCACUUUGGUGGGAAGUAGGGGUGAUCCUGUGGUGCCGAGAAAAGCUUCGACGCGAGGUGGCUGGCCGCCCGUACCCUAAACCGACACAGGUGGUCGGGCAGAGUAUGCCUAGGCGCACGAGAUAAUCAUGGUUAAGGAACUCGGCAAAAUGCCCCCGUAACUUCGGGAGAAGGGGGGCCUGAUACUUGAUGAAACCAUUUUUUGUGGCUUUCUAGGGUUGAGGGUCGCAGAGACCAGGGAGAAGCGACUGUUUACUAAAAACACAGGUGCGUGCGAAGCCGUAAGGCGAUGUAUACGUACUGACGCCUGCCCGGUGCUGGAAGGUUAAGAGGAACCGUCAACCUUUGUUGGUGAAGCGGUGAAUUUAAGCCCCAGUAAACGGCGGUGGUAACUAUAACCAUCCUAAGGUAGCGAAAUUCCUUGUCGGGUAAGUUCCGACCUGCACGAAUGGCGUAACGACUUCUCUACUGUCUCAACCAUGAACUCGGCGAAAUUGCAUUACGAGUAAAGAUGCUCGUUACGCGCAGAAGGACGGAAAGACCCCGGGACCUUUACUAUAGCUUGGUAUUGGUGCGCGUUAUAGCUUGUGUAGGAUAGGUGGGAGACUGUGAAGUGGUCACGCUAGUGAUUGUGGAGUCGUUGUUGAAAUACCACUCUGGUUAUAGCGUGUGCCUGAACCUUGGCCCGUGAUCCGGGUUAGGGACAGUGCCUGGUGGGUAGUUUAACUGGGGCGGUUGCCUCCUAAAUUGUAACGGAGGCGCUCAAAGGUUCCCUCAUCCUGGUCGGUAACCAGGUGUUGAGUGUAAGUGCACAAGGGGGCUUGACUGCGAGACUGACAGGUCGAGCAGGUACGAAAGUAGGAACUAGUGAUCCGGCGAUCCCGUGUGGGUGGGUCGUCGCUCAACGGAUAAAAGGUACCCCGGGGAUAACAGGCUGAUCUUGCCCAAGAG